This 981-nucleotide ribosomal RNA is filed under the name Triticum aestivum (bread wheat). Its description in RNAcentral is "partial small subunit ribosomal RNA". The record is from RNAcentral. Lineage: Eukaryota; Viridiplantae; Streptophyta; Magnoliopsida; Poales; Poaceae.
AUGACAAAUUUCCUGGCUUGGAGCUUGUCAAAAACAGGAGUCUUCACGGUUCGGUCAGCCUAUCAUGCUAUUUGGGAGCAUCAAUUUGGGAGUAAACUACAGGCUGGCAGUAGUUCAUCAUCUCCAAAUACGAAGUGGGUGGCUUUAUGGAGCAUCCAAUGCCCAUCGAAAAUCAAAAAAUUUAUAUGGAGAGUAGUACAGAGUGCUAUUCCCUAUCGUGCGUUAUUAGCUGAUCGACACAUUAAAAUCAAGGCUGAAUGCCCUUCUUGCAAAUUGGGCCCAAAAACUAUUCGGCACCUUUUGUUUGAAUGCCCGAUGGCUGUGGAAGUUUGGAAACUGUUGGGGUAUCAUGAUGAAGUAAUGAAGGCAUUACAAUCAAACAGAGCAGGAGAGAUGGUCAUGGAAUAUCUGCUCAAUGUUUCGGACAAUGAAGUGCAUGUUCUUGGGCUUCCAAAGUUUAGAGAAACAAUGGGAACAUGUUGCUGGUACCUGUGGUGGGUACGUCAGAAUCUAACACAUGGGGGAGAAGCACAAAAUGCAGACCAGAUUAAUCUAGCAGUAAGAGCUCUAGCGGCGAAUUUUACCCUUUCUUGUACCUCUAAGGCAAAAGUACAUACAGGAGCAUGGACCAAACCCAGGCGUGGUUAUGUAAAGCUGAAUGUUGAUGCGGGUUUUGACCCAGACUUGCUACAAGGAACUGUUGGAGCUGUUAUUAGAGACCACACAGGAAAAUUCAUUGUUGCUGCUAAUGAAAGAUUGGACAUUUGUUAUGAUGCGUUCACAGCUGAAGCGAUUGCGGUAAGGUUUGGCCUGAACCUUGCCCACACUGUUGGAUGCAGCAAAAUUGAACUGAACUCAGACAGUCUAGAGGUUGUCGCUGCACUUCAGGAGGGGUAUUCUUCUUCUGUGGCGAGUGCUGUUUUUGAUGACUGCUACUUUAUGUCCUUAGAUUUCACCACUGUUGCAAAAGGCAGUGCCUAG